RNAcentral lists this long non-coding RNA (1432 nucleotides) under Sitophilus oryzae (rice weevil). RNAcentral describes it as "uncharacterized LOC115882891, transcript variant X2". Lineage: Eukaryota; Metazoa; Arthropoda; Insecta; Coleoptera; Curculionidae. The record is from RNAcentral.
UGGUUAAUUAUUAGACAAAGACAACAACAAAAAUAAACAAGGACAGCAAAACCAAAUAAAAUACCUUUAAAAGAUUUAAAUCAAAUAUAACGAUAACGAUUCGAAAUUUCGUGAUCCAGAUAAAUAUCAUCGAUAUUUACUCACAAAAUUUUCCAGAUAAUGCAAAUCUUUUUCGUUUACAACCUAAAGAAGCCAACCGUUUGAUGUCGACAACACAUUUUCAAUAUUCAAGAAAUAGUAUUCAAACUAGCUUUAUUAUAUCCUAAUGCUGAAUUUCUAGUUGAAACGCUAACAAGAUAGAGAAUUUAGUAAACAGUUUUCAAAAACAGACUGAUUUAUCAUUACAACAAAUAAAAUGUACCCUUUGUUGUAUCGAAGAUAUGUUUGGAUAGGAUGCUCAAAAAUGGAAUGUUGUAAAGGGAUGAAUAAUACUCUUACUGAUUUAUACAGACAAGAUACGUACAUUUUCUUAUAAUACUUAAAAACGUGUCUAGAAUACACUAACAAAACUUAUAUAUUUUAGGUAUAAGUUAGUAGAAGAUACAGAGGUGACUUUAACAAAUUUACAGCAAGGAUUGGACAAGAUUUGAGGCCGAAUUCAAAAAGUUCUGUAGCUAGUCCUGGUACUAGGAUAUAACAAGUUGUUGUUAACUUGGUUUACGGAAGAAAAUUAACUUAAUAGUGAAUGAGUCAAAGAUAAGCUAAACCAGGUAGAGUAUUGGAAGAAUUUUUGUUGACAUUUGUAUAAGUUAAAAGAAAUAAAACCGUGGUUCUGCAGAGAUAGUGGCUCAAUGUUUUGAUAUAUUCGAUAUUUGAAUGACCGCAGGGAAGCUGUCAGGACUUCCAAUCCAUCGCUCACAUUUGCUGAUAUUACUAAGAUCUUAGUCAGCGAGUGGAGUAAUUUACCUUCUGAUAAGAAGCAGCAAUACUUGGAUGCAGCUGAAUAAGAUAGAGAGAGGUAUACAAAAGAAUACGAAGCAUAUAAACAGACUGAGGCAAACAAACAAUUUACCCAACUCCAGAAUGAGAAGAAACUCAAAGAUAACAAAGAAAAAGAAAAAGAAGAUGUUAAAACUAUAGUUUCAAAUGUAAAUUCAUCUCAACACCCUGUAACUAAAGACAUCCAGGAAAUGGACUUUGGCAACUUUGAUAUUCUCAUUUUUACUGAAGAAUUCCUUAACCACAAUAAAACAAGAGAUGCAUAAUUAAGAUUGUUCUUUGCCACUCUGACUAAACACAUUGAAAACAUGAAAACGGCCAUAACUAAGCUGGAAACAGAGAUUUCACAAAAGGAAAAGAAUAAUGUUUCUUUGCAACAUCAUCUGGAGCAUCUUAGGGCUACUCUGGCCACAGAAAGAAAAUAAUUACUUUAUAGACAUUUUUUUGUUAUGUAGGAAUCAGAGAAACUGCUUCCUUGCAAAAUAUUGUUACG